This 335-nucleotide long non-coding RNA is filed under the name Meriones unguiculatus (Mongolian gerbil). RNAcentral's name for it is "lncRNA (ENSMUGG00000012200.1)". Lineage: Eukaryota; Metazoa; Chordata; Mammalia; Rodentia; Muridae. The record is from RNAcentral.
CGUCACUCGGACCCACAUAAGCUCGCAUGGUGGGAUGUUUGGAGUGGGGACUUACUCUUUUGAUAAUCCGCUGGCGCCGUCUCAAAACAUUAGCCCGAACUCAGACUCCAAGCCGGAUGUCAUCUUCUUAUUGGAGCAAGGAAAAGAAUCAUGGAUGGUUACAAAUUAUAUGACAAGACCUUGGCAUCCAGACUUGGAGUCAAAGUGCGACAGAGUUCCACAGAAAGGCCUUUUUGAAACAGAGUCGCUCAGAUGGGAGUGGUGAAACGCCUUCCGCACCAGGACUGUGAGGAUAGCUGGGAACGCAGAGAGCGGCUUGAGAGACAGCGAGCGAG